RNAcentral lists this ribosomal RNA (513 nucleotides) under uncultured bacterium. RNAcentral's name for it is "bacterial SSU rRNA". It matches the Rfam family "Bacterial small subunit ribosomal RNA", at positions 28 to 524 of the family's 1533-position model. The record is from RNAcentral.
GACGAACGCUGGCGGCGUGCCUAAUACAUGCAAGUCGAGCGGACCAAAGGGAGCUUGCUCCUGGAGGUCAGCGGCGAACGGGUGAGUAACACGUGGGCAACCUGCCUGUAAGACUGGGAUAACAUCGAGAAAUCGGUGCUAAUACCGGAUAAUAAAAAGAACUGCAUGGUUCUUUUUUGAAAGAUGGUUUCGGCUAUCACUUACAGAUGGGCCCGCGGCGCAUUAGCUAGUUGGUGAGGUAACGGCUCACCAAGGCAACGAUGCGUAGCCGACCUGAGAGGGUGACCGGCCACACUGGGACUGAGACACGGCCCAGACUCCUACGGGAGGCAGCAGUAGGGAAUCUUCCGCAAUGGACGAAAGUCUGACGGAGCAACGCCGCGUGAGUGAUGAAGGUUUUCGGAUCGUAAAACUCUGUUGUUAGGGAAGAACAAGUGCCGUUCGAAAGGGCGGCACCUUGACGGUACCUAACGAGAAAGCCACGGCUAACUACGUGCCAGCAGCCGCGGUAAA